GGCAGAGGCUGACUUUGCUGUGACAACUGUCAGCCCAUUGAUUGUCAGGUUUGAUUUGGCUGAUUUGACUGGAUAGGCAGGUGUUCCCUUCUUCCCCCAUUGCUCCAUGUGUGUCUCUCCCAAAGCUGCAUGCUCGGUGGAAGAGGACACCCUUCCCAGAUAGAAUGAGUGUACUGUUCUUUGGUUAAGAGUAUACAAUAUCUGUAGUCCCCUGCUAGAACCUCCAAACAAGCUCAAAGUUCAGGGGAGCUAUUCUAGCAGAUGCCUUUGUGGUUGUGAUUGUCAGGACCUGGAAACUGGCCUCUG
This 306-nucleotide small nuclear RNA is filed under the name Salvator merianae (Argentine black and white tegu). RNAcentral's name for it is "7SK RNA (ENSSMRG00000021864.1)". The stretch from base 1 to 269 matches the Rfam family "7SK RNA". From Rfam's summary of the family: 7SK was discovered as an abundant small nuclear RNA in the mid-70s but a possible function has only recently been suggested. Lineage: Eukaryota; Metazoa; Chordata; Lepidosauria; Squamata; Teiidae. The record is from RNAcentral.